GCGCCUGGCGGUGUUCGGCGUGGUCUUGCGGGACCAGCGCGGGAAUAGAACGUCUUAUUUAGCGGCAGAGCCGCUAGACCAGAGUGCGUCGCGCGAUUCCUUGGCAGGCCGGCAGCACACUGGGCAUCAAUUCGAACGCACUGCAGAGAUUGCGCUGAGAGUGGGCCUUCGCCAAAUGAAGAAAGCGCUCGCGUGCCGCGAACUUACGCGCAUGCGCCAAGGCAGCAGCGGAUUUCCAGGCUGCCGCGGGCCACGUUCAAAGCGCCGAACUAUGCAGGCGCAAGUUUUCGGUGAUCCUCGCGUCGCCGGCGUGACGUAACCGACUUCGCCGGCCGCUGCCUGGCGUGCUGGAAACGCCUGACUAUAUCCGCGCCCUCAUGGUCGUCAGCCUCGUUGCUGUACCUUGCAGAGAGAGCAGAGAGCUUACAAGACUGCGAGCCUCACUCUGCUGCUGCUCUUUUUUUGCUGCUUGUGACGCGAAAGUCAGCGGACAACUGCGUUGGUCCCGACAAAUAUGGGCCUAUUGGGAAUUUCACAGACGGUGUGAAAUGGUGAGUGAAGAGCUCUGGUCCCCAUUUCCGAACCACUUUCUAAAGUUCAUUAAAAAAA
Dermacentor andersoni is the source of this 609-nucleotide non-coding RNA. NCBI's taxonomy places the organism in Eukaryota, Metazoa, Arthropoda, Arachnida, Ixodida, Ixodidae. The record is from RefSeq and is a predicted model, not a curated record.